GUGAAAAUCUUUUUUCUUCUCUUCUAUCCUGCAGGUGUUUGUCUACACAUGUUAUGUGCUGACAGAAGUCUGGCACAUCAGACUUCUCACUGCACCAAAUUAAGGCUGGCCAAUAUCCUGUUUCUCCACCAUGGGCCAGCAGACCUGUGCUGUGGGUCAGAGUACUGUUUUUGACUUCAGAUGAAAAGCUGAUUUCAGGUCAGCCAACCCAAUAAGCGCAUGUAACACAAACGCCACACCCUCUUAAUUUCCUGUCAUAAUAAAAAAAUCAGUAAAUCAACUCAGCACGCAACGGGGCAUGUGGGAGCUUGUCGAUAUUUUGAAGCUUGUCUUAAAAGAAAGAUGCAUCAGAAAAUGUGUGUUUUAAUGCUUUUGUCAAGGUGAUGUGAGGAAAACAAUUAGUAAAAAAAAAACAGGCCUUAUGAUUAGUGAGGAUUCAUAGAAUGACAGGAUGAGAUGAAGCACAGAAAAGCAUUACAAAUUCUAAUGUCUGUGGGGACUUGGAGAUGUGAUAUGAGCCUAGGACGCCGCUGCUGAGAUUUGGAGGGGUGUGUGUGUGUGUGUUUGUGGGGUAUUUGUGUGCUUGCCUAUGUGUGAAGGGGAAUAUUUAUGGGUGGGUGUGCAUGUGUGUAUCAAACAGACAGAUGAACAGACAGAAAUAGCCAGAAGAUGAAAGUGAGAUAUGUGGGAAUGCAGACGGGGUGAGAGAAAAUAGAGGAGAGGAGGUUUUGGGGUGUGAAUGGAAAAGCAAGUGAGACUGAAACUAUUUAUUGGUGGAUUUACCGGGACAAUAACAAGCUGGGGUUGAUAUUUCAACAUCCUAUCAGUGCCAUGUUGUGUUUGUGUAAAAUUAACUACUUGAGUAGUAAUAAAUGGUUCUGCUAGUUC
Molecule: long non-coding RNA, 888 nt
Organism: Xiphophorus hellerii (green swordtail)
Lineage: Eukaryota; Metazoa; Chordata; Actinopteri; Cyprinodontiformes; Poeciliidae
Exons: 2
Source: RefSeq, a predicted model, not a curated record